Long non-coding RNA from Ipomoea nil (Japanese morning glory), 939 nucleotides. RefSeq lists it as uncharacterized. NCBI's taxonomy places the organism in Eukaryota, Viridiplantae, Streptophyta, Magnoliopsida, Solanales, Convolvulaceae. The record is from RefSeq and is a predicted model, not a curated record. The transcript is spliced from 3 exons.
UUUCUCUAGUCUUUCGUAUGUUCGCUGUUCGUGCGUAGGGAGUGUGUGGACGAGCUCCGCGAAUCUCGUCGGCUUGCCUCCUUUGUUCGUUCGUUCUUCAAUCCCACGUAGAGAUGGUUGUCGGGGGGACCGCGGCACAGUGAAGAGGCAGGGAUCACCGGGCGUCGGUCGAGGUAUUAUUCAAGUUACCUUGUCAGAUUUCUGGGUGAAAUAAAGUGAAUAAUAUGAACCUGGUCAGAUUUCUGGGCUGGAUGAGUUAAAGAGAAUAAACAAGCAGUGAUGAUCAAAAAGGUCUGGGAGGACCGUGAAUUUAUCUCUAACAUCUCGAUAAAUUUUCAACCUAUUUUCUAGAUGGGGUAAAACUAUAUUCUGUGUUGGUGAACAGACUGUGUCAUGGGAGGGUUUGUUAUCUCCGACACCAGGCUCUCAAGUUGAUCGGCGUAAUAGAUGUGUGGGCAGCUGUUCUUAAUCGUCGGGAGGCUUCUAAGGGUGACACCACGAGUAUUCACAAGUUUAGGCUGCGUUACAUGAAUGAGCUUGUGACUUUGGACUAUAAUGUGCACAGUCCAGGCAACCUUUCUUGGGCGUUUCGGUCGAUAUCUGCUCAUUUUCCUUCCGUGUACACAUGUGUGCUAUUUAGUAAGGUCUGAUUAGGAUUUUGGUGUGAUAUUCACACGGGUGCUGCACACUGUGUUGAUAAUCGUUUUUGGUGUUACUACUCAAGUGCACCUUGUUACGUUUCAUUGUGCGAGCAUCAUCUUGUGCACAUAUUAGUUUCUGGGACUACUGUAACGGCACACAGGCUGUCUUUAAUUUAUGCUUACACUUUUAUUUGGCUUCGCUAUGUUUAAUGUUGGUGGUUUGGUAGUUUAUAUUGGUGUAAAAAGUUUUUCUUAAUUUCAUGCAUUUUGGAGGGUGCUUAGCUUGGGUUAUAUCCUA